Molecule: long non-coding RNA, 592 nt
Organism: Mandrillus leucophaeus (drill)
Lineage: Eukaryota; Metazoa; Chordata; Mammalia; Primates; Cercopithecidae
Exons: 3
Source: RefSeq, a predicted model, not a curated record
ACUCCCCCUCAGCCACCGCCUCCUCCUCCACCAGCACCACUCCCUCCGGGGCACCCCGGUCCCUGCAGAGUCCCUGGCCGGCGCCGCCUCCGCUGCGGCCCCCUGAAUCCGGAGCCUGCUGAGCCCAAGCUGGUGGGACAGACGGACAAACAGAUUCCUUUCGCCUAGCGCUCCGCCGCUGCUGCCUUACGCGGCCCUGCGUCGGGGGAACUGGGAUCGUCCCAGGAGCACCGCGAGGGGUCAUCUCAGGCUGGCUGCAUGCCUCAGCUGAAGAUCCCAGCUCCUGUCAAUGCCACCUCUCCGCUUGACUGUCUCCUUCCAGACUCGAGCAGGUAUGAGCUGGGAAGAAUGCAGGCAGGGCAUGCCCGUGUGCCAGCCCUGCACAGCUGGAGAGAUGAGGCAAGACGUGGAGGAGAAGCCGGGGACUGUCUGGAGGUCUAAGGGUGUUGUUUGCCCCUUGGGCUCCAGAAGAUGCAUGCCAGGACCUGGGGUGGCACCACCAGGAAGCAACAGAGAGGAGAUAAAACUCACAGCAGACAGAUUUGCCUUAACAACAACUGUCUUGAAUUAAAACACGCUUUUCAAGAAAACA